CAGGGAUUGCCCUAGUAACGGCGAGUGAAGCGGCAACAGCUCAAAUUUGAAAUCUGGCCUCGGCCCGAGUUGUAAUUUGCAGAGGAUGUUUCUGGCGCGGUGCCUUCCGAGUUCCCUGGAACGGGACGCCACAGAGGGUGAGAGCCCCGUAUGGUUGGACACCAAGCCUGUGUGAAACUCCUUCGACGAGUCGAGUAGUUUGGGAAUGCUGCUCUAAAUGGGAGGUAAAUCUCUUCUAAAGCUAAAUACCGGCCAGAGACCGAUAGCGCACAAGUAGAGUGAUCGAAAGAUGAAAAGCACCUUGAAAAGGGGGUUAAACAGUACGUGAAAUUGUUGAAAGGGAAGCGCUCAUGACCAGACUUGUGCCGGGCGGUUCAUCCGGGGUUCUCCCCGGUGCACUCCGCCCGGCUCAGGCCAGCAUCGGUUCUCGUUGGGGGAUAAGAACGGUAGGAACGUGGCCCUCCCUCGGGAGGGUGUUAUAGCCUGCCGUACGAUACCCUGAUGGGGACCGAGGUUCGCGCUCCGCAAGGAUGCUGGCGUAAUGGUCAUCAGCGACCCGUCUUGAAACACGGACCAAGGAGUCGUCCAUUAGAGCGAGCGUUUGGGUGUAAAACCCGCACGCGUAAUGAAAGUGAAAUUAGGUGAGAGCUUCGGCGCAUCAUCGACCGAUCCUGAUGUUCUCGGAUGGAUUUGAGUAAGAGUUUUAACGGACGGACCCGAAAGACAGUGAACUAUGCUUGUAUAGGGUGAAGCCAGAGGAAACUCUGGUGGAGGCUCGCAGCGGUUCUGACGUGCAAAUCGAUCGUCAAAUAUGAGCAUGGGGGCGAA
This 828-nucleotide ribosomal RNA is filed under the name Harknessia protearum. RNAcentral describes it as "eukaryotic LSU rRNA". It matches the Rfam family "Eukaryotic large subunit ribosomal RNA", at positions 69 to 927 of the family's 3401-position model. Lineage: Eukaryota; Fungi; Ascomycota; Sordariomycetes; Diaporthales; Harknessiaceae. The record is from RNAcentral.